GGACAUUGAAAAGAGAGAUGAUUCAUAGCUUCAUCCCAGUAACCAAACAUGGUCUAUUUUGAGCCAAAAAGCCGAGUCAAAAGCAGGAAGCCGACUCAAUCUUAAAUCUUAACUUAUGUCCUGCUGGCUAAGGUGGAGUUGCAGCUGUUACCAAACCUGUGAAAAAGCCCUUUCGGGGAAUCCGAAACCCUAGAAAUUUUAAAUGAUAAAGAAAAGCAGGGAGUGACUACGUUGCAGAUCAAGUGGGGGCAUCCACCCCCCACUCCAGUCUGCAUUUCAUUAUUAAAAUAAACCCCUGUUCCAGAUAUUUUCAUAACAUCCUCCCUCUCUCUCUCUCCUCUUUCCCUCUCAACGUCCAUUCAUUUCCAGUGUUUAUAGAUAUGAGUUGGAUAAAGAACAGAUUUGAUUCAAUCUGGAGACGCGUAGGCCUGUGAGCCAAAGACACAGAGCUAUUCCUGACAGGCCUAUCAUCCCUUUUUUUCUUGUCUAUGGGAGGAAGUCAUCUGACUGGGAAAACCAUCAGAGAGUUGGGAUCAUAUGUGGGGUCUUGAUUAAAAGUACUGCAAAUUCUCUCAUUAAGGCAGGAUAUGUAUGGGAAGAUACUAUUUCAGUGAGCAGUCAAUUAUCUAUCAAAAUUCUGGUCUGCAUCUGCUGUAGAAAUAUAUAUAUUUAAACCUGGAAGUGGAUGGAACAACUGGAAUUCAUGACUAUGGCUGUGGGUCAUCAGAAGGGGUUGUAAUGUUUAAGUAAACCAACAAAAACCAUUACUGCACCACUUCUUGGGGAUUUUCUGUGUGCAAUCUAGGUGGAUGGAGGUUUCGUUGCCAGGAAGCUAAGGAUUUGUGGAAGGUGUAUAAUUCGUGUUGGGAAAGCUUGCAAGAAGGUAAAAAUUUUCAGGAAUUUGAACUGUAAUUCCUCCUUCCCAAUUAAUUCCUUUGCCAACAUGAGCGACACCAGUGCAAGUACAGAGAAGGUUUGCCUAUUGUCUAUUAACUGCAUUGUUGUUUGAACAUGUCUUAAAUUUUUUUAUACCUUAUGGAUAGGUUGAUAAAUACAUACACAAACAAUUAGAUAAAGCAUUCUAUAUAUAAUGCUGCAAUGCUGUGCUUGCAUACAAAAUCAACUAUAUAUGCUUCUUUAAACAUGGAUAAAUUUACAGAAGAAGAUGGAGUGGUGGUUACUGAAGAAUACCUUGACUUCUGAAGUUGGGUUAACCAGUUGUUGGUGUUCCUCUUUUGCUUUGAUAUAGCGCUCAGUUAUUGAUUUAAUGCUGGAAUAGCAGAAUGAAAUUGUGUGAGAUCUCAAAUAUGUUCUGUAUACUGUUUUUGGGCAUUUCAUACAGAAAUUUGAAACAUAAUGUCAGGCAAUACUAUGUGAAGAGUUGGCUGUCUCAUUAUAUCAUUAUGAUUAAACAAAAGACUACAGGUUUACCUGCUAAGGAGGUGAUUACUCCAAGAGACAUAAACUCAAGGUAUGGACUUCAAACAGUUCUGUUUUUCCUACUUUUACUUUUCUGAAAGAAUGUUCUUGAAAAUCUGAGUUUAUGUUAUAUUUUCUUUGCAUUCUUUUUUAUAGACAAGUUGGGGAUAGUAUAUUUUUUAGAAUAAGUGAUUUAAUAAAAAAAUGAAGUGUGACCCUAGUAUAUAGAAAGGUGUACAAGGUACACCAAGGCAACAGAACUUAUGGUAGAGCAUGAGCAAAAGUUAUAAGAUGCCUCUAAACUAUCAAAAAAAAGAAAGGAGUGCUCUACAUCAGAUCUUUAGACCAUAAAAGUAGAGUUCUAAGGACUUGGUGCUUCACAAUCAAAAUUGAUUGCUCUAAACUAUCGAAGAACCUUCUGUUCCUCUCUUUUUAUAUUAUCAGAAGUGAACCAUUGGCUUAUAUCUCUUUUCUUUGAAACUAUCAUGCCCAGCCAAAUCUCUAAAUGGGUUGGGAAGAGCAUGAUAUCACAGACCAAUACCUUAUCUGAGAAUUCAUACGGUAACUCAGCACCUCAAACUCUAAGCAACUUAAUAAGCCUAAUUCAAGCCACUGGGAAAAUAAAAGCAAGAGCUAAUAGGAAGAGAAUGCUUGAAGAAAUUCUGAUAAAAAAAAAAAUGAUAGAGAGAGAAUGCUUGAAGAAAGCAAGUGUAAUAACAUUAGAAAACUUUACAAAACACUUGUCAACUUGAUUGAUGGUAGACCACCUAGUUAUCAGUACGAGGGGAAAGUCCUCUUAAUGCAUAUUGAAUAUGGAAUUCUAAUAAGCUUGUCAAGCACUUCCAAGCUGGUCCAAGCACUACUAAACUCCUUAGUGGCUGUUGUAUGCUCCUUCAAGCACCUUCAAAUACCUUAAAAUCUGCUUCGGGCACUUUAAAGUUCUGGAACAUUUUGGAGCUGCUUGAAACCCUUGGAGAAUGGAAAAAUUGUAGAUCUACACAAAAUUGGGAGUGAGCUAUGACAAUAAGACACCUUAAACAAGGAGAAUACCCGAGACUACAAAUUAGAAGCUCAUCCACAAUGAAUCAGAGUAUGGUUUGCAGUUUCCUCUUGUUUGUGCUAACCAUUACCCAACUGCAUCUCAUAGAGUUGUUUAUGUUAAGAUAUCCUCCCAUGCUGGCUUUUCUAGCAAAGAAACUUUGGAUGACACCUUAAGAGUCAUAAAGCUUGUGAAAAAAAAGAAAAAAAAACCAAGGCUCCCCCAUGCCAAUCUACCCCCUGCACUGCUAUGAAUAGACAUUACGUCUAGGAGCUGCAUAAAUGGCUCUAUCUGCCUUUCAAAGAAGCCACCUCAGAAAAAGAAGUCCUUGCUACCUAGAAGCUAUUCUCCCUCAAUUCAACAAUCUAGCACCCAAACUUCUUUCAGAACUACCAUAUUAAACAUUUUAGGGAAUCGAAUUUGUAUAAAAGUCUUCUGAUGCUUUCCAGAGGAUAACCCUACUAGCCUCUGUGCUAUCUCAAAUUCCAAACACAGCCCCAACACCUCCUCCACCCCUUCCGUACUAACUGUCCUUCCCACUGA
Long non-coding RNA from Vitis riparia (riverbank grape), 3001 nucleotides. RefSeq lists it as uncharacterized. NCBI's taxonomy places the organism in Eukaryota, Viridiplantae, Streptophyta, Magnoliopsida, Vitales, Vitaceae. The transcript has 6 exons. The record is from RefSeq and is a predicted model, not a curated record.